CGAUAAUUCGAUGGUUUUGUGAUGUCAUGUUGGUGAACAUGUUAACGUAUCCAACUUCACACUCUAUGAAUGGAUGAAUGAAAGAACGAAUGCCGCUCCUUUCUAACUAUAUAGAAAAGAUAGAGUAGGAAAUAACAAAAAUGUCAAAAAUAACACUGCAAAAUUUAAGUGUCCUAGAACAGUGCUUAAAGCUGAAUUAACAUGAUGAUUUUAAAUUUGUAUUGUUUAUUUCUUGUCAUUGCGACUUUGACGCAGCUGUUGUCAUGACAACAGAUAACAAAACAUGUUUUGUUGAAGGAUUAUUGAUGAAUAAUUUUCCACAAAAAAUUGGAUUUUAACCACGAUAGGAAAAUGAGAACCUGCGCCUAUCCGUUUAAACCGAUUGUAGAAUUUAUGGAAAGAUAUGGCGAUCUGAGUAUGCCCACUGAAGGGCCCCAAGAAAGAGCCAACAAUAGUCAAUGGUGGGUGGAACUAACGGACACGCGAACGUGAAAUGCUGAUGCCACCGGCGACACCAAAACUACUGAGAAAUUGAGAAAAGUGUGGAGUGACUUUAAACAGCAAGAAGAAGGCAACUCGCAUACACAGAGCUGCCAAGAGAACACUGGACUGGUGGCGGUCCAGGUUCUUCCCUGAAGCCAAAGGAUUUAGAGCAGAGUGCUUGUAAAUAACUACUUGUAAAUUAAAUCCAUAAUAAAGACCUAGGGUAACUGGAUGGAUAUACCUACCUUAUUAUUGUAAAACUUAAGAUAUUAUAAUUAAUUAAAUACA
Ostrinia nubilalis (European corn borer) is the source of this 771-nucleotide long non-coding RNA. RefSeq lists it as uncharacterized. The transcript has 3 exons. The record is from RefSeq and is a predicted model, not a curated record. NCBI's taxonomy places the organism in Eukaryota, Metazoa, Arthropoda, Insecta, Lepidoptera, Crambidae.